AGAGUUUGAUCAUGGCUCAGGACGAACGCUGGCGGCGUGCUUAACACAUGCAAGUCGAGCGAGACCCCUUCUUCGGGAGGGUGUUCUAGCGGCGAACGGGUGAGUAACACGUGGGCAACCUGCCCUCAGCUCUGGGAUAACUCCAAGAAAUUGGGGCUAAUACCGGAUAUGACCGCUGACCGCAUGGUCUGGUGGUGGAAAGAUUUAUCGGCUGGGGAUGGGCCCGCGGCCUAUCAGCUUGUUGGUGGGGUAGUGGCCUACCAAGGCGACGACGGGUAGCCGGCCUGAGAGGGUGACCGGCCACACUGGGACUGAGACACGGCCCAGACUCCUACGGGAGGCAGCAGUGGGGAAUAUUGCGCAAUGGGCGGAAGCCUGACGCAGCGACGCCGCGUGGGGGAUGACGGCCUUCGGGUUGUAAACCUCUUUCAGCAGGGACGAAGCGAGAGUGACGGUACCUGCAGAAGAAGCACCGGCCAACUACGUGCCAGCAGCCGCGGUAAUACGUAGGGUGCAAGCGUUGUCCGGAAUUAUUGGGCGUAAAGAGCUCGUAGGCGGUUUGUUGCGUCGGCUGUGAAAUCCCGAGGCUCAACCUCGGGUCUGCAGUCGAUACGAGCAAACUAGAGUGUUGCAGGGGAGACUGGAAUUCCUGGUGUAGCGGUGAAAUGCGCAGAUAUCAGGAGGAACACCGGUGGCGAAGGCGGGUCUCUGGGCAACAACUGACGCUGAGGAGCGAAAGCGUGGGGAGCGAACAGGAUUAGAUACCCUAGUAGUCC
This 776-nucleotide ribosomal RNA is filed under the name uncultured bacterium. Its description in RNAcentral is "bacterial SSU rRNA". It matches the Rfam family "Bacterial small subunit ribosomal RNA", at positions 8 to 796 of the family's 1533-position model. The record is from RNAcentral.